UGGAAAACACUAAACUCACUCCC
Molecule: non-coding RNA, 23 nt
Filed under: Rattus norvegicus (Norway rat)
Lineage: Eukaryota; Metazoa; Chordata; Mammalia; Rodentia; Muridae
Source: RNAcentral